Molecule: ribosomal RNA, 406 nt
Filed under: uncultured bacterium
Lineage: Bacteria
Description: partial 16S ribosomal RNA
Rfam family: Bacterial small subunit ribosomal RNA
Source: RNAcentral
AUUGAACGCUGGCGGCAGGCCUAACACAUGCAAGUCGAGCGAGCGGCGGACGGGUGAGUAAUGUCUGGGAAACUGCCUGAUGGAGGGGGAUACCUACUGGAAACGGUAGCUAAUACCGCAUACCAUCAGACCUGCCCAGUUGGGACUAGCUAGUAGGUGGGGUAACGGCCCACCAAGGCGACGAUCCCUAGCUGGUCUGAGAGGAUGACCAGCCACACUGGAACUGAGACACGGUCCAGACUCCUACGGGAGGCAGCAGUGGGGAAUAUUGCACAAUGGGCGAAAGCCUGAUGCAGCCAUGCCGCGUGUGGGAAGAAGGCCUUCGGAUUGUAAAGCACGUUCAGCGGGGAGGCGUUACCCGCAGAAGAAGCACCGGCUAACUCCGUGCCAGCAGCCGCGGUAAUUC